This 261-nucleotide ribosomal RNA is filed under the name uncultured prokaryote. RNAcentral's name for it is "partial 16S ribosomal RNA". It matches the Rfam family "Bacterial small subunit ribosomal RNA", at positions 524 to 784 of the family's 1533-position model. The record is from RNAcentral.
UACGUAGGGGGCUAGCGUUGUCCGGAUUUAUUGGGCGUAAAGCGAGCGCAGGCGGUUCCUUAAGUCUGAUGUGAAAGCCCACGGCUCAACCGUGGAAGGUCAUUGGAAACUGGGGAACUUGAGUGCAGAAGAGGAGAGUGGAAUUCCAUGUGUAGCGGUGAAAUGCGUAGAUAUAUGGAGGAACACCAGUGGCGAAGGCGACUCUCUGGUCUGUAACUGACGCUGAGGCUCGAAAGCGUGGGGAGCAAACAGGAUUAGAUA